GACGAACGCUGGCGGCGUGCUUAACACAUGCAAGUCGAACGGAAAGGCCCCUUUGGGGGUACUCGAGUGGCGAACGGGUGAGUAACACGUGAGUAACCUGCCCUUGACUUCGGGAUAACUUCAGGAAACUGGGGCUAAUACCGGAUAGGAAUCCUUGCUGCAUGGUGGGGGUUGGAAAGCUUCGGCGGUUUUGGAUGGACUCGCGGCUUAUCAGCUUGUUGGUGGGGUAGUGGCUUACCAAGGCUUUGACGGGUAGCCGGCCUGAGAGGGCGACCGGCCACAUUGGGACUGAGAUACGGCCCAGACUCCGACGGGAGGCAGCAGUGGGGAAUAUUGCACAAUGGGCGGAAGCCGGAUGCAGCAACGCCGCGGGCGGGAGGACGGCCUUCGGGUUGGAAACCGCUUUCAGCAGGGGCGAAGCUUGUGGUGACGGUACCUGCAGAAGAAGCACCGGCUAACUACGUG
RNAcentral lists this ribosomal RNA (465 nucleotides) under uncultured bacterium. Its description in RNAcentral is "partial 16S ribosomal RNA". It matches the Rfam family "Bacterial small subunit ribosomal RNA", at positions 28 to 507 of the family's 1533-position model. The record is from RNAcentral.